This 234-nucleotide ribosomal RNA is filed under the name Desulforamulus aquiferis. Its description in RNAcentral is "partial 16S ribosomal RNA". It matches the Rfam family "Bacterial small subunit ribosomal RNA", at positions 114 to 348 of the family's 1533-position model. The record is from RNAcentral. Lineage: Bacteria; Bacillati; Bacillota; Clostridia; Eubacteriales; Peptococcaceae.
CGCGUGGAUAACCUGCCUGAUAGCCCGGGAUAACAGCUGGAAACGGCUGCUAAUACCGGAUACGCUGAGCAGAACGCAUGUUCUACUUAGGAAAGAUUUAUCACUAUCAGAUGGAUCCGCGUCCCAUUAGCUAGUUGGUGGUGUAAUGGACCACCAAGGCGACGAUGGGUAGCCGGCCUGAGAGGGCGAACGGCCACACUGGGACUGAGACACGGCCCAGACUCCUACGGGAGG